AUUGAACGCUGGCGGCAGGCCUAACACAUGCAAGUCGAGCGGAUGAAGGGAGCUUGCUCCUGGAUUCAGCGGCGGACGGGUGAGUAAUGCCUAGGAAUCUGCCUGGUAGUGGGGGAUAACGUCCGGAAACGGGCGCUAGUACCGCAUACGUCCUGAGGGAGAAAGUGGGGGAUCUUCGGACCUCACGCUAUCAGAUGAGCCUAGGUCGGAUUAGCUAGUUGGUGGGGUAAAGGCCUACCAAGGCGACGAUCCGUAACUGGUCUGAGAGGAUGAUCAGUCACACUGGAACUGAGACACGGUCCAGACUCCUACGGGAGGCAGCAGUGGGGAAUAUUGGACAAUGGGCGAAAGCCUGAUCCAGCCAUGCCGCGUGUGUGAAGAAGGUCUUCGGAUUGUAAAGCACUUUAAGUUGGGAGGAAGGGCAGUAAGUUGAUACCUUGCUGUUUUGACGUUACCAACAGAAUAAGCACCGGCUAACUUCGUG
RNAcentral lists this ribosomal RNA (484 nucleotides) under uncultured bacterium. RNAcentral describes it as "partial 16S ribosomal RNA". It matches the Rfam family "Bacterial small subunit ribosomal RNA", at positions 30 to 507 of the family's 1533-position model. The record is from RNAcentral.